GCCUCGACAAUAUCGAAAAAGAUUCUGAAUUAACUAACGCUUUGUCGGCUUAAGAUGUUCAGACGCAAAAUGUCGUGUUUGUGGAAACAGCGGCGUUAAAGUAGAUUGCCGAGUGUACUUUAUCCGAGGUAGCUGAAAUCUUAUGAAACAGUAUGAAACGUGUAGACAGCGAAAUAUAUUUUGAAAAUCUGCCAGAAUAUCGCACUGUCUACUCUGAUACGCUUGGGAGAUUUUAAUGUAAUGAUAAAGGAAUUAGAAGAGAGAGAGGAUGAAUGGCAUAAUUGGCAUUUUUUCCACAUCUAACGCUACGCGCAAAUAUACAACCUCUCUAUGCGGAUCUACAUGAAGCACGGGCAUCCAUCAUUCACGCUGCAAACUAUAAGAAAGCCUUUUGUAUGUACCUGCA
Long non-coding RNA from Trachymyrmex septentrionalis, 406 nucleotides. RefSeq lists it as uncharacterized. The record is from RefSeq and is a predicted model, not a curated record. Lineage: Eukaryota; Metazoa; Arthropoda; Insecta; Hymenoptera; Formicidae. The transcript has 3 exons.